GGAGCCCUCCGUGUCGUGUGAAGGGCCACUAUGAACUUUUUUCCCCUAAAUGUGGGACAGAAACAUCUUUGAGGCAAAUAUUGAGGGGACCCCUUUUAUCUAAAUGGAUAUGCAAUUAAUAUGAAUUAUGGACACAUGGAGAGAGUAGAAUCAUAUGGAUCAAACAGAAGAAUCAGAAUAAAAGAAAUUCAGUAUUUCAUUGGGGCUUAACUUCGUGUGUUCCUUUGAAGACAAAGACUAAUUCUAAUGUAAAUUUAAGAUACACUUUUUUUUUUUUCCAAUGGAACAGGAGUGUGGUGAAGAGAAAAUGUUCUUCAUGAUUUAGCUUUAAAUAAGUCUUUAAAUAGUCUAAUUAAAUAAUG
RNAcentral lists this long non-coding RNA (362 nucleotides) under Bos taurus (domestic cattle). RNAcentral describes it as "long non-coding RNA NONBTAT007569". The record is from RNAcentral. Lineage: Eukaryota; Metazoa; Chordata; Mammalia; Artiodactyla; Bovidae.